GGGGGCGACUUGGAUUCGACGGGGAUACCGAAGGUUGGUCGGCAUGUCGAGUAAGUUCCGCUAACUCGUAAAAUUCGCGGGAGAUAAAUUUAACUGCAAACUAUGAUGUUGCAAGCUAUCCCGUUGCCUCUGGCAACUCGAUGGUGCUUGCCGCCUAAAUUUAGGCGGCCGUCCUUACCGCCUUCGCCCACGUGGGCGGAUAAGGACGACGGUAAAGUGGGCUGGUCUGAUAACGCGUUCGCCGUUAUUUAGAUGAGAAUAAUGCGGAUCUGUCCUAUUAAAGACUCGCCCGUAAGGAUUUGAUAGGACGGGAUAAAAAAAUACGGGAUAAGCAUGUAGAAGAUCGGUUGGAUGUAUUUUCGGACGCGGGUUCGAUUCCCGCCGCCUCCACCA
RNAcentral lists this transfer-messenger RNA (393 nucleotides) under bacterium. RNAcentral describes it as "4572-55 sp002084765 Standard tmRNA". It matches the Rfam family "transfer-messenger RNA". Rfam says of the family: Bacterial tmRNA, also known as 10Sa RNA or SsrA, is named for its dual tRNA and mRNA-like properties. Its role is to liberate the mRNA from a stalled ribosome. To accomplish this part of the tmRNA is used as a reading frame that ends in a translation stop signal. The record is from RNAcentral. RNAcentral also lists the same sequence under 2 other names.